CUACGGGCCGCAGCAGUGAGGAAUUUUGCGCAAUGGGGGAAACCCUGACGCAGCAACGCCGCGUGAGCGAAGAAGGCCCUCGGGUCGUAAAGCUCUGUCAAGUGGGAAAAAAGCCUUUUGAUCAAUACCCAAAAGGUUUGAUGGUACCACUGGAGGAAGCACCGGCUAACUCCGUGCCAGCAGCCGCGGUAAUACGGAGGGUGCAAGCGUUGUUCGGAAUUACUGGGCGUAAAGGGCGUGCAGGCGGUUUGGCAAGUCAGAUGUGAAAGCCCUGGGCUUAACCCGGGAAGUGCAUUUGAAACUGCCGUUCUUGAGUAUGGGAGAGGAGAGUGGAAUUCCCAGUGUAGAGGUGAAAUUCGUAGAUAUUUGGAGGAACACCCGUGGCGAAGGCGACUCUCUGGACCAAUACUGACGCUGAGACGCGAAAGCGUGGGGAGCAAACAGGAUUAGAUACCCGGGUAGUC
Molecule: ribosomal RNA, 464 nt
Filed under: uncultured bacterium
Lineage: Bacteria
Description: partial 16S ribosomal RNA
Rfam family: Bacterial small subunit ribosomal RNA
Source: RNAcentral